Coturnix japonica (Japanese quail) is the source of this 325-nucleotide non-coding RNA. The record is from RefSeq and is a predicted model, not a curated record. Lineage: Eukaryota; Metazoa; Chordata; Aves; Galliformes; Phasianidae.
UGACACCACUAAGAGGUGACACCAAGAGGUGACAACUGGGAUGGGACACCAAGAGGUGACACCAAGAGAUGACGUCUCCUAUAUAUGACACCAAGAGGUGACACCACCAAGAGGUGACACCGAGAGGUGAUGCCCCCUAUAUAUGGCACCAAGAGAUGACAACCCAUAGAGGUGACACUAAGAGGUGACAACUGGGAUGGGACACCAAGAGGUGACACCAUGGGGUGACACCAAGAGAUGAUGCCCUCUAUAUAUGACACCAAGAGGUGACACCAAGAGAUGACGUCUCCUAUAUAUGACACCAAGAGGUGACACCAAGAGGUGA